This 445-nucleotide ribosomal RNA is filed under the name uncultured bacterium. RNAcentral describes it as "partial 16S ribosomal RNA". It matches the Rfam family "Bacterial small subunit ribosomal RNA", at positions 354 to 796 of the family's 1533-position model. The record is from RNAcentral.
GUGAGGAAUAUUGGUCAAUGGGCGGGAGCUUGAACCAGCCAAGUGGCGUGAAGGAAGAGGGAUCUAUGGUUGGUAAACUUCUUUUGCAGGGGAAUAAAGUGCAGGACGGGUCCUGUUUUGUAUGUACCCUGAGAAUAAGGAUCGGUUAACUCCGUGCCAGCAGCCGCGGUAAUACGGAGGAUCCGAGCGUUAUCCGGAUUUAUUGGGUUUAAAGGGUGCGUAGGUGGUUUGAUAAGUCAGCGGUGAAAGUUUGCAGCUUAACUGUAAAAAUGCCGUUGAAACUGUCGGACUUGAGUGUAAAUGAGGUAGGCGGAAUGCAUGGUGUAGCGGUGAAAUGCAUAGAUAUCACGCAGAACUCCGAUUGCGAAGGCAGCUUACUAAGCUACAACUGACACUGAAGCACGAAAGCGUGGGGAUCAAACAGGAUUAGAUACCCGAGUAGUCC